RNAcentral lists this unclassified non-coding RNA (338 nucleotides) under soil metagenome. Its description in RNAcentral is "partial contains 5.8S ribosomal RNA, internal transcribed spacer 2, and large subunit ribosomal RNA". The stretch from base 1 to 120 matches the Rfam family "5.8S ribosomal RNA", at positions 35 to 154 of the family's 154-position model. The record is from RNAcentral.
GAUGAAGAACGCAGCGAAAUGCGAUAAGUAAUGUGAAUUGCAGAAUUCAGUGAAUCAUCGAAUCUUUGAACGCACAUUGCGCCCGCCAGCAUUCUGGCGGGCAUGCCUGUUCGAGCGUCAUUUCAACCCUCAAGCUCUGCUUGGUGUUGGGGCCCUACGGUUGACGUAGGCCCUUAAAGGUAGUGGCGGACCCUCUCGGAGCCUCCCUUGCGUAGUAACUAACGUCUCGCAUUGGGAUUCGGAGGGACUCUUGCCGUAAAACCCCCAAAUUUUCUAAUGGUUGACCUCGGAUCAGGUAGGAAUACCCGCUGAACUUAAGCAUAUCAAUAAGCGGAGGA